GAUCCUGGCUCAGGAUGAACGCUAGCGGCAGGCUUAACACAUGCAAGUCGAGGGGUAUAUUUCUUCGGAGAUAGAGACCGGCGCACGGGUGCGUAACGCGUAUGCAAUCUGCCUUUCACAGAGGGAUAGCCCAGAGAAAUUUGGAUUAAUACCUCAUAGUAUUAUAGGAUGGCAUCAUUUUAUAAUUAAAGUCACAACGGUGAAAGAUGAGCAUGCGUCCCAUUAGCUAGUUGGUAAGGUAACGGCUUACCAAGGCAACGAUGGGUAGGGGUCCUGAGAGGGAGAUCCCCCACACUGGUACUGAGACACGGACCAGACUCCUACGGGAGGCAGCAGUGAGGAAUAUUGGACAAUGGGCGCAAGCCUGAUCCAGCCAUGCCGCGUGCAGGAUGACGGUCCUAUGGAUUGUAAACUGCUUUUGUACGAGAAGAAACACUGAUUCGUGAAUCAGCUUGACGGUAUCGUAAGAAUAA
This 473-nucleotide ribosomal RNA is filed under the name Flavobacterium sp. WB3.2-27. RNAcentral describes it as "bacterial SSU rRNA". It matches the Rfam family "Bacterial small subunit ribosomal RNA", at positions 15 to 489 of the family's 1533-position model. Lineage: Bacteria; Pseudomonadati; Bacteroidota; Flavobacteriia; Flavobacteriales; Flavobacteriaceae. The record is from RNAcentral.